CUGCUUCCAAUCCUCCUCUUUUUUGCUGAGGAAGCCUGGCCCUGAGCUAAUAUCCUUGCCCAGCUUCCUCAACUUUAUACAUGGGACGCCUACCACAGCAUGGCUUGCCAAGCUGUGCCAUGUCCACACCUGGCAUCCGAACUGGCGAAGCCCGGGCCACUGAGAAGCAGAAGAACAGGAGACUGAGCCCUGGAACGUGAAGAUUUUGCCCAAUAUCACACAGCCUGAAAAUGACGAUGAAACUCAAGCAUCCGCCUCCAGAGACUGUGUGAUGACUCUCGACUAUCCAUAGCCCUUCGAGGAGCUCGAUCACUUGUGGGCACACAGCAGGGACCUAAUCAAGAGACACUAGCCCUAACCUUUCUCUGAAGGCAAACCCUCUCCUCAGUGCCCCUGCACACUGAUCCUCUUCCCACAUCUAGGUCUUUGCGAAGAAGGGGCUCCCUGCCUGAAAUACCUUUCCUGUUUCUCUCCUCACCACAAUACCCUCCAUGUUUAUCAAGGCCAGAGGGAAGAUCUACUUCCUCCAGGAAGCCGACAGGGAUCACAACGGGACAAAUGGGUUAAUCUUAAACUCCAAAUAUUCUAUCUGUAGUGAAAGUAUGUUUUUUGUUUUAUUGCCUGCCUAUGUCAUUAAUCACUCCUUCUGGAAAUAACCUCCAAUUUUCUUCUGAGGGAGCCAGCACAUCCAAAUUAUCAGUCCAGGUGAUUUAUCUGAAGCUCAACUCCAACCCCAGGCUCCAAGAAUGAGAUACCACCCAACCUGGGCCAACUACCGUACCUCAGGAUGUUCGUUAAACCUAUGUUGGGAAAUAGACACAAUUUUUAUUCUGGGGUGGACAAGCUGGUAGGGUGUAGACCCUGGAGAUGCCUGUGCCCAUCUUUUCCCUUACUGAGGAGAGACUGGUUAAGAAUCAAGAAUAAAACAAAAGGAGAUAUAUACCCAAUGGCAUUAUUUGAACUCCUUGAUCCAGCCAUAUCUGAAUCAGUUAAGUGUUCUAAUACAUGUAUUCUUUUCUCCUGAAGCCAUUUUGAGUUGAGUUUCUACCACUUGCAACUAAAAGACUCUUAAUGCACACACAUUCUUCAACAUUUUAGCCCUGCAGACUCACCCUUUCGUAAUUUUCUAUUACAAAGAAUGUAUUCUAUUACCCCAGAGAUCUUAUAGGCUCCUUAAGGACAGCAGCAGAUUCCUUUUCUAAGGGACCAAGAACUUAUAAGAGAGUUCAG
RNAcentral lists this long non-coding RNA (1230 nucleotides) under Equus caballus (horse). Its description in RNAcentral is "lncRNA (ENSECAG00000057317.1)". Lineage: Eukaryota; Metazoa; Chordata; Mammalia; Perissodactyla; Equidae. The record is from RNAcentral.